This 4220-nucleotide long non-coding RNA is filed under the name Lactuca sativa (garden lettuce). Its description in RNAcentral is "long non-coding RNA (LSAT_LNC001465)". The record is from RNAcentral. Lineage: Eukaryota; Viridiplantae; Streptophyta; Magnoliopsida; Asterales; Asteraceae.
AACUGUGAACACCCUUUUGAUGUCAUUUUAAGAUCCGUAAACCCCCAUUGAGAUGUUUAUAUUAGGCGACAACUCGUUUGUGAGGGUUAUUUAUGUUUUAAACCCAUAGUCUUUCAACCUAUUUUUAUUUAUAACACUCUAAUUUAGCUUAGUUUUCAAUCCAAACUUCUUUGUUAGUUUUUUUUUAACUAAGGUCUAAUACUAUUGACAAUAAAAUACAACAAGGAAUGGAAUGUAGUUUCACUUGUUUUUGGUUAAGGUUUAGGCUCUGCUAGGUCUAAAAUUUCGAGUUGUGGCACAUAAAUCAGGAAAGAAAGUUACUGCACAAUGAAGAUCCCUUUCCAUUUAGCUAACUGACAAUAAGUUGCAUGUAAGCUUUGGAACAUGUAAAACGCCCUAGAUUCACAAACCACUAGGCAAGUUACAGACACCCUUUCCUUCAACUAGUAUGCAGUCACCAUUCAAUAUAGUAACUGGUAACUCAUGUGUGGUCUCUAUUUUGCUUUCAAUAUAAUCUUCUCUAUCGAUGAUAUGCUCGGUUGCACCGGAGUCUAUAACCCAAUCACUACAAUGAUUUUCCUUCCCUGUCUUUUGAGCAGUUAUUUCUAUGCAUUCUUCAACUGAACCGUUCCAUUGUGUAAAGAUAUUCUGAAAUUGUUGAUAUUGUUCGUUGUUGAGUCCCGAUAUAGGACCUCUUUCAGUUUCUACAUUAGUCGCCUUAGUUUUUUCCCUUUCUUGUCUUCCCUUUUCUAAUUACCACUUUGGAUAACUUAUAAGUUUGAAGAAACCAUCACUGCUAUGACCAUGUUUUCCAUAAACCCCACAUUGUUCCAUUUGACCGAUUGAUCGUUUAUCACCAAUCAUGGCAAUUCUGUGGUUUUUAGGGAUUUUGGGUGAACGACUCUUAUAAUCCACUCUGAUACCAUAUAAAAUUUUGUUUUGAUAAUAAAACUUAAUUCUUGGAGAACGAAGAACAGGAGGCCUAAAUAGGCAAAAUAUAAUAAAGAAAAUUCACUAAUCUUGGAAUAAGAAAUGGAAAACAUAACAGAGAAUAUAUAUANGAAGAUCCUCUUAACAGAUGAAAUUCUACAAAGUUUUUAAUUUUAGGCAAAUCAUAUGACAAAUCCUCAUUACCACAACUAAACAGUACCUAGAGUGUUGUUUUGAUUAUCAAAAUAAAAAAUUCAUUAAACAGAUGGAUAGUAGAUUUCAAAUGGAAUUAUAGUUUCUGCUUGUAUAAGAAGCCAUUGAAGUACAUGCUAUAUAGCAGGGUGUGAGGGGUUUAUAUGGCAUGAUAUGCUUAGUUCAAUAUAAACAAUGCUCUGAUACCAAUCUGUCACACCCCCAAACCGGAACGGGGGAAACGUUCGAAGGUAGAUGACGUCAUGUAUAGUAUCACAACAAUUUUAAAAUAGUAAUCAAAGCAACAACAACAAUUGUAUUGACAAUAUAUAAUUUACAUUGUGUUCAAAACAUUGCCUGAAUUAGACAAAAACUAACACAAAAGAUAAGACGUAAUACUACAAUGCUCCGUCUUCACAACGCCUGUGAGGGUAUCUGUCUACUAAUUUUCCUGAGAAUAAAAGUAAUUUACAAAAGUGUUAACAUUAAAUUUGGUGAGUUCAUAAGCGUUUUUGUUAUAAAAAUUAAAUUCUUUAUUCUUUGGAAAAGUUCGUGUAUUUCUCCAAAAAGUCUUAUGUGUUCUUAUUAGUUGAAUGGAAUGUAGUCUUAGUACCCUAAGAAAAAAUAUAUAAGUUUCUUAUACUUAACGAAUAAUGCUUUGAAAUUAUAUAAGUAAUCGUAUUUGUUUCUAGAAAAUUGGAUUGUAAAUCGUCUAUUUGUAAAAUAAUGAUCUUUAUCCUGGAAAAUCCUAUAUUUUCCAUAAGUUGUGUUGUAGUCUAAUAUGAUCCAAGACCGAAAGGUACAAGUAUAUUCAAUACUUAAAAUCGUUCUAACUAGCUUUAUAUGAAUAUAAAAUUAUUUGAAGAGAUGAGUUUAUACGUAAAAAUCCACGUAUAGUUGUUUAUUAUGUGAGUUUCAUUUAUUUAUAAAACCGUUGAAGAGCUGUGUUUUCACAUAGAAAUAAAUGUGUUGUAAAUUUUACUUAAAAUAACAUGUUGUCAUUUAUCCUAGAAAAAUACUAUAUUUUCCCUUAAAGCUAAUUUGUAGUCUUAAUUGCCCCAAGACCGAAAAAUGUAAGUAUAUUACCAUACUUAGUUUAAUGACAUGUAGUUUUAUUCGUUUAUAAAAUCAUUUGGAGAGAUCUGUUUAUACGUAAAAAUAAGUGUAUUGUCAGUUUCACGUAAAAUAACAUAUUGUCGUUUGUCAUAUGAGUUCUCAUAACCGUGCUAACUAGUGGUUUGCCUGCCGCAACGUUCUUCAAGCAUCAUUAUGUUUGAUAUUUUUCACCCAUAACCUGUCGGUUCUGUUGUAGCUAACAGCCAAGGAGAGGGGUCAUCUAUUCCAUAUAGAUCUAUACACAACUAUCGUGAUCUCCGGGAGGAGACUCGGGUUAUCAAAUCGGACUUCCAUGUAUACCUUGGUAGGUAUAACGAAGACAAUGUCUCACUAAUUUCCAAUGAGUUUACGUAUUUUUGAAAUGAAACUGUUCGUAUAUAAAAUUGUUACCAUUUUUGUAAUAGUUAUAAAAUUUAAAAAUAAACGAAUAUUUUUAUAUAAUCUUUUCUUGGUCCCGAAUGGGUAAAUAAUGUGAAUGUUUUCCAAAUUAUACCUAUUAUAGUUUAACAUGUAUUAUUUCAUUGAAAACGAUGUCCGUUUUGUUUUAACGUGUUUUGCAUGUAACUGUUUACAAAUUUCGUAUUUCUACAUAAAACGUAUUUAAACGUAAUUAAAACGUAAAGCGAUGAUUUGUAUAUUAACACAAGUUUCUUGUGUUUUACUUGUUUCCCUCCCCUCUAAAACAAGGAAAAAGUUAUUGAAAAGCAUAGGGGUAUGAACUCACCUUAUGUGUGGUCGCGGUUUAGAAAACGGUGACUUCAAGCUAGUAUACAGGAAGGAUGUCGUAAUCCUAAUGGUUUUAAACACACAAUAGUGUGUGAAUAAGAUUUUUAACAACACAAGUAUUCCAUAAACACAGAACAAUAUGAAGGGACUUACCAACUUAUAUCAAAUUUGAAGUGAAGAUUUCCUGUAACUUGAAUUGAAAGGAUGAUGGAAUUGGGUUUGUAUCUUAAGAGUAAAAUUAUAAAGUGAAAGUUUACUAAUGAAAUGAAUUUGAGGGAUGCCUAAUUCGUAUCCUAUAUAUGAAGUAUUAAGAUAAGGUUUGCAAAUGUAAAUGGAACUAUUACCUAGGGAAAAUGAAUUAGGAUAAGAUAAAUAGAUGUUUACUGUCAAGUUGUAAGUGUUUACGCCCCAAAAGAGGUUUACACCUCACCAUAAAGUGUUUACGGCCAAGACGAGGUGUUUUCAGCAACCAUGAAGUGUUUAUGGUCAAAGGAAUGGGUUUCAUGGUCCUAUGCCAACUGUGAACACCCUUUUGAUGUCAUUUUAAGAUCCGUAAACUCCCAUUGAGAUGUUUAUAUUAGGCAAAAACUCGUUUAUGAGGGUUAUUUAUGUUUUAAACCCAUAGUCUUUGAACCUAUUUUUAUUUAUAACACUCUAAUUUAGCUUAGUUUUCAAUCCAAACUUGACUAAGGUCUAAUACUAUUGAUAAUAAAAUACAACAAGGAAUGGAAUGUAGUUUCACUUGUUUUUGCUUAAGGUUUAGGCUCUGCUAGGUCUAAAAUUUCGAGUUGUGGCACAUAAAUCAAGAAAGAAAGUUACUGCACAAUGAAGAUCCCUUUCCAUUUAGCUAACUGACAACAUGUUACAUGUAAGCUUUGGAACAUGUAAAAUUCCCUUGAUUCACAAACCACUAGGCAAGUUACAGACACCCUUUCCUUCAACUAGUAUGCAGUCACCAUUUAGUAUAGUAACUGGUAACUCAUGUGUGGUCUCUAUUUUGCUUUCAAUCUAAUCUGCUCUGUCGAUGAUAUGCUCGGUUGCAUCGGAGUCUAUAACCCAAUCACUACAAUGAUUUUCCUUCCCUGUCUUUUUAGCAAUUAUUUCUACGCAUUCUUCAACUGAACCGUUCCAUUGUGUAAAGAUAUUCAGAAAUUGUUGAUAUUAUUCGUUGUUGAAUCCUGAUAUAGGACCUCUUUCAGUUUCUACAUUAGUCGCCUUAGUCUCUGCCCUUUCUUGUCUUCCCUUUUCUGACCACC